Coffea eugenioides is the source of this 581-nucleotide long non-coding RNA. RefSeq lists it as uncharacterized. The transcript is spliced from 2 exons. The record is from RefSeq and is a predicted model, not a curated record. NCBI's taxonomy places the organism in Eukaryota, Viridiplantae, Streptophyta, Magnoliopsida, Gentianales, Rubiaceae.
UAAAAAUUUUUGGAGAAGUAAGAGGAGUGGUGGCUGAGGGACGAAACUGAGAAGAAAGAGAGAACGAAGGAAGGAAAAGUGACGGGGGGGUUUCUGAGAGAGAACCUAAGCGGGAGAGAGAGAGCGGCCAAGCUGGAAAAGAAAGAAACGAGGGAGGAAGAGAAAGGUGUGGAGAGCAAGAAAGGUUACGGGCGGAACAUGAUAAGAACUUGGGAAGGAAAGAGAGCAGUUGAGAGUGGCGGCGGGAAAGGAAACAGAGAGCUACGGGCUGAGAAACGGAAAAGCUGAGAAAAAGGAGAGCUUGGGGAGGAAGACUCUGGAACAAGCCGAGAGAGAAGACUCAGGAGCAGGGGGCCGACGCGGGAAUCGCUCGGGAAGGUGUUUAGUGUUUUGAUUAUAGACGAGUGAACUUGUACUUGUUUUAAGUUGACUAGCAAGAUGUAUGUAGUUGUCGUGGUGGUUGUAGUUAUCAGCUUUUCUAGGGUUUAUUUUCUGGUACUCGUGGUAUGUACGACUUGAUGUACUAGUCUAUGUAAUUCUGGAGAAUUGGAUAUAAUAUUUGAGAUUUAUCUUAUACUUCA